UUCUUGGAUGAGUUGCGAACGGGUGAGUAACGCGUAGGUAACCUGCCUUGUAGCGGGGGAUAACUAUUGGAAACGAUAGCUAAUACCGCAUAACAAUGGAUGACACAUGUCAUUUAUUUGAAAGGGGCAAUUGCUCCACUACAAGAUGGACCUGCGUUGUAUUAGCUAGUAGGUGAGGUAAUGGCUCACCUAGGCGACGAUACAUAGCCGACCUGAGAGGGUGAUCGGCCACACUGGGACUGAGACACGGCCCAGACUCCUACGGGAGGCAGCAGUAGGGAAUCUUCGGCAAUGGGGGCAACCCUGACCGAGCAACGCCGCGUGAGUGAAGAAGGUUUUCGGAUCGUAAAGCUCUGUUGUAAGUCAAGAACGGGUGUGAGAGUGGAAAGUUCACACUGUGACGGUAGCUUACCAGAAAGGGACGGCUAACUACGUGCCAGCAGCCGCGGUAAUACGUAGGUCCCGAGCGUUGUCCGGAUUUAUUGGGCGUAAAGCGAGCGCAGGCGGUUUGAUAAGUCUGAAGUUAAAGGCUGUGGCUCAACCAUAGUUCGCUUUGGAAACUGUCAAACUUGAGUGCAGAAGGGGAGAGUGGAAUUCCAUGUGUAGCGGUGAAAUGCGUAGAUAUAUGGAGGAACACCGGUGGCGAAAGCGGCUCUCUGGUCUGUAACUGACGCUGAGGCUCGAAAGCGUGGGGAGCGAACAGGAUUAGAUACCCUGGUAGUCCACGCCGUAAACGAUGAGUGCUAGGUGUUGGAUCCUUUCCGGGAUUCAGUGCCGCAGCUAACGCAUUAAGCACUCCGCCUGGGGAGUACGACCGCAAGGUUGAAACUCAAAGGAAUUGACGGGGGCCCGCACAAGCGGUGGAGCAUGUGGUUUAAUUCGAAGCAACGCGAAGAACCUUACCAGGUCUUGACAUCCCGAUGCUAUUUCUAGAGAUAGAAAGUUACUUCGGUACAUCGGUGACAGGUGGUGCAUGGUUGUCGUCAGCUCGUGUCGUGAGAUGUUGGGUUAAGUCCCGCAACGAGCGCAACCCCUAUUGUUAGUUGCCAUCAUUCAGUUGGGCACUCUAGCGAGACUGCCGGUAAUAAACCGGAGGAAGGUGGGGAUGACGUCAAAUCAUCAUGCCCCUUAUGACCUGGGCUACACACGUGCUACAAUGGUUGGUACAACGAGUUGCGAGUCGGUGACGGCGAGCUAAUCUCUUAAAGCCAAUCUCAGUUCGGAUUGUAGGCUGCAACUCGCCUACAUGAAGUCGGAAUCGCUAGUAAUCGCGGAUCAGCACGCCGCGGUGAAUACGUUCCCGGGCCUUGUACACACCGCCCGUCACACCACGAGAGUUUGUAACACCCGAAGUCGGUGAGGUAACCUUUUGUAGCCACACGCUAUC
Molecule: ribosomal RNA, 1387 nt
Filed under: Streptococcus thermophilus
Lineage: Bacteria; Bacillati; Bacillota; Bacilli; Lactobacillales; Streptococcaceae
Description: bacterial SSU rRNA
Rfam family: Bacterial small subunit ribosomal RNA
Source: RNAcentral